Molecule: ribosomal RNA, 232 nt
Filed under: uncultured bacterium
Lineage: Bacteria
Description: partial 16S ribosomal RNA
Rfam family: Bacterial small subunit ribosomal RNA
Source: RNAcentral
GAUCAAUGGCUCAGGAUGAACGCUAGCUACAGGCUUAACACAUGCAAGUCGAGGGGCAGCAUGGUCUUAGCUUGCUAAGACCGAUGGCGACCGGCGCACGGGUGAGUAACGCGUAUCCAACCUGCCUUACACUCUUGGACAGCCUUCUGAAAGGGAGAUUAAUACAAGAUGUUAUCACGAGUAAGCAUUUUCGCAUGAUUAAAGGUUUACCGGUGUAAGAUGGGGAUGCGUU